AGGAGCAUCUCUGCUAUGCUAAAGAUGCGUUUGAUUAGAGUCGGUUGUAGAGCAACUUCUUGCCAACCAGCUAGGACCUGCCCUUCGUACUUCCGAGUCCUUUCAGCGUAAACUGAUCGAAAGGAACAUCCCUUAACAAUAUGGCAGAACAAGGAACAGUAAAGUGGUUCAACGACGCCAAGGGCUACGGCUUCAUCAGCCGGCAGACUGGCGAGGAUGUAUUUGUCCAUUUCUCGGCGAUCCAGGCGGGCGGCUUCAAGAGCCUGCAGGAAGGCCAGACCGUGGAGUUCGAUGUGACCAAGGGGCCGAAAGGCUGGCAAGCUGAAAACGUCCGGCCGCUCUAAGAGCGGCAACUUUUCAUAGCGAGCGUGCCAGCCAACCGAACCUGGGGCUGGCACGCGUUA
RNAcentral lists this unclassified non-coding RNA (404 nucleotides) under Candidatus Sulfotelmatobacter sp. SbA7. RNAcentral describes it as "cspA". The record is from RNAcentral. Lineage: Bacteria; Pseudomonadati; Acidobacteriota; Terriglobia; Terriglobales; Candidatus Korobacteraceae.